ACUGCAAAAAACUUUCGUCUGAAGUGGGCCAUAGCUUAUCUGAGCUGCAUAGGUCACCACGAAUCAUCUUCUGAUACGUUGUCCGGUUUUUAAAAAUCUUUUAUCAUUUCAAUAUGGCUUUUAGUAAUUCCUUGGGCAUUGACACUCUCUAGCCAACAAAGAAACUACGUUUUUCACGUUACUUUUAUCAAUUUUUUCAUAGUUGUACAUUUAGUUGAUUAUAGAGAAAAUCUUGCCAUUCAUACAAAUUCCUUUGUCUGAUCUGAUCGUGUCAACAUGCUAAUCCCUUCUUGCCACUGGCAGAAGCCAUUUUGUCAAAUUUUGCAUCUUUCCAAAAUUUAAUCACACGCAAGCAUUCUGGCAUGUGUCAGGCAACGGGUUACAGGAAUGGCAUGGUCCCCUUUUGGUGUUGAGCCUGGCCUACACCCUCAGUUAUUGAAAAUGGUGUCGGAACAAGUUAUUACAUGGAGCUGGAGCGUCAAUUUGGGACUUGAUUUGUCAUCUGUUGGUUGACAUGGGAAAACACAGAUUGGACCCACCAUUUUAUACCCACACUUAUCAUUGGAAUUCUGGGAUGGUAGCUGUUGUUGCAGGACACUCCUUGAUUCGUUAGUGAGGUUCCAGAAAGCAGCAUUCCAAGAGCAAGAAUACUAUUUGCCAGCUGUCAACACAAUAUAGAUUGUUUAACUUUGUUUUCUUGCCUUGGUGGUGAAUUUGAAUUAUAUUGAGAUUUAAAAAAUUUUGAAGCUAUUUGCGUACUAGUGAGAAAACAUGUGAAGAGUUGCUGAAAUGUGUCAACAGAGCAAAAUGCAAAACAUGGAUUAAA
Long non-coding RNA from Daphnia magna, 826 nucleotides. RefSeq lists it as uncharacterized. The record is from RefSeq and is a predicted model, not a curated record. The transcript is spliced from 3 exons. Lineage: Eukaryota; Metazoa; Arthropoda; Branchiopoda; Diplostraca; Daphniidae.